UGAGGAAUAUUGGUCAAUGGGCGGAAGCCUGAACCAGCCAAGUCGCGUGAGGGAAGACGGCCCUAUGGGUUGUAAACCUCUUUUGUCGGGGAGCAAAGCCGUCCACGUGUGGGCGGAAGGAGAGUACCCGAAGAAAAAGCAUCGGCCAACUCCGUGCCAGCAGCCGCGGUAAUACGGAGGAUGCGAGCGUUAUCCGGAUUUUAUUGGGUUUAAAGGGUGCGUAGGCGGCAUGGUAAGUCAGCGGUCAAAUCGAGGGGCUCAACCCCUUCCGUCCGCUGAAUCAUGUCGUGCUUGAGUGGGCGAGAAGUAUGCGGAAUGCGUGGUGUAGCGGUGAAAUGCAUAGAUAUCACGAAGAACUCCGAUCGCGAAGGCAGCCUGCUAAGCUGCAACUGACAUUGAGGCUCGAAAGUGUGGGUAUCAAACAGGAUUAGAUACCC
Molecule: ribosomal RNA, 437 nt
Filed under: uncultured bacterium
Lineage: Bacteria
Description: bacterial SSU rRNA
Rfam family: Bacterial small subunit ribosomal RNA
Source: RNAcentral